This is a long non-coding RNA of Daktulosphaira vitifoliae (grape phylloxera), 557 nucleotides long. RefSeq lists it as uncharacterized. The transcript has 5 exons. The record is from RefSeq and is a predicted model, not a curated record. Lineage: Eukaryota; Metazoa; Arthropoda; Insecta; Hemiptera; Phylloxeridae.
AACUAUAUUUUAAAAAUAAUCUAAUAUUUUUUGCAACUUAAUUAGUGACUAUUCAAUAGUGAACAGUAUUUUUCGAACAUUUAAAUAAAUAUUAACAAGCUCAGUGAUGUACCAUAUUCUCAUUAGUGAUUAAUUUUGGGAAAGAGUAGUGUGCCGAUUACAUGACUUGGAUAACAUAAGUUUUGAAGAUGAAAUUAUGCACAAUUUGGAUGACACAGAUUCUGAAGAUGAAAUUAUGCAGGAUGUAGAUGAUGGUGGUAGUUCUUCAAUAGGACCUACCAUCAAUUGAUGAUUGAGGAUUAAUUUUUCAAAAUUUUCUGCUCGAUACAAAAAAAUAAUUCAUGUUUUAUUAUUAGACAAAUAACAUAAAUAAUCCAAUCAGAAGUAUGUUUGUCCACAAAUUAAUACAAAGUUCUAAUACUGAUUAAUUAAUUUAAUUUACCAUUUACUGUUUUAUUUAUUAAAUAAUUUACUAAUUUAAUUUUAAAAGUUAUAAAAUUUUGUUUUAUUUAUAUUUCUAAUAAAAAUGUUAUCGAUCUCCUAAUAUUUAUGUUUUA